Molecule: ribosomal RNA, 447 nt
Filed under: uncultured bacterium
Lineage: Bacteria
Description: SSU rRNA
Rfam family: Bacterial small subunit ribosomal RNA
Source: RNAcentral
AGAGCGAACGCUGGCGGCAGGCUUAACACAUGCAAGUCGAGCGGGCGUAGCAAUACGUCAGCGGCAGACGGGUGAGUAACGCGUGGGAACGUACCUUUUGGUUCGGAACAACCCAGGGAAACUUGGGCUAAUACCGGAUAAGCCCUUACGGGGAAAGAUUUAUCGCCGAAAGAUCGGCCCGCGUCUGAUUAGCUAGUUGGUGAGGUAACGGCUCACCAAGGCGACGAUCAGUAGCUGGUCUGAGAGGAUGAUCAGCCACAUUGGGACUGAGACACGGCCCAAACUCCUACGGGAGGCAGCAGUGGGGAAUAUUGGACAAUGGGCGCAAGCCUGAUCCAGCCAUGCCGCGUGAGUGAUGAAGGCCCUAGGGUUGUAAAGCUCUUUUGUGCGGGAAGAUAAUGACGGUACCGCAAGAAUAAGCCCGGCUAACUUCGCGCCAGCAGCCGC